Molecule: long non-coding RNA, 2021 nt
Organism: Bos taurus (domestic cattle)
Lineage: Eukaryota; Metazoa; Chordata; Mammalia; Artiodactyla; Bovidae
Source: Ensembl
CGCAGGACAGGUCAAGUGCACCCGUAGGCGUGCUCGGGACGUGCCUCACCAUAACGCCGGCGUCACGGUGACUAACACAGCGGUGCCCUGGUGCAAACGUCCACUUGUUCACCCGUCUGCUCAGCCCCCAAAUGUCUCCUCCUCAUCAUGGACAGCGGGCUCUCUGCUGGAUCUGUCAGCUCAUGGGCACGACAGCCACUCUCCCAGCGUCUCUGCAGUGACUGUCUGAGGUUCUCUUCACCCCGGCCGGGGCCCCAACAUAACCUGGGGAUCAGCGAUCGUGCUGGACUUUGGGCCCCUAAACAAGAAUAAAUCUGCAUAUCUUCCAUCCAUUGGCAGUUAAAGUUUAGUCUCAAAACAGAUCUCUUUCUACAACUGACAAGAAACACAGACCCUGGGCUCCUGCCUCGAAAAUGGAGAAGAGCUAGAAUAUAUGUUGAUGGCAAUUUCUCUUUCUUCAUUUUACUGCUGAGCAUGCUGAGUGAGUGUGGAGAGGGACCGGGGAAGCAAGAGUCUCAGGAGCUGUGAAGCAUCCUCCCCUCCAACCCCGCACUGCCCGAGGACCCACAUGAGCCCUGGUGUGCGACUCUCCACACACUUGAAGACACGCUGGAACCUCCUCUGCCCUGCUUGAACUCAAGGUUCCGUGGACUCUGCCCUCUAGCGCUCUUACUUAAAGCGGAGAUUCGAGCAGGAAGACACUGCCAUCUGGGAGACGACACCCGCUUGGUGAUGCCCAAGUCUCGGAAGGUCCUUGCAUUCCUACCCCCCACCAUAGUUUUAUCAAGCGUCCAUGGCCCCAGGCUCACUCAUCGCCCCGCGCAGAAGAGCAGCUCUGUCUCCCAUCAAAACCAUGCUCAGGCCGGCUCCCAUCCUGGACCGGAGCAGAGCAUCUCCGCUCUUCACGCCUCCAGCUCCGCAGCGCCCUGCAGACCCCCUUCCUUCACACGGCCAUCUUCCUCCAUAUCCACGGACGCGCCUUGAGGGCAUGUGGACUACGCUGACCACCCAGCUUCUCUCCUCCCCCAGGUCCCAUCAUAGACUGCCCCCACCCCACUCCUCUCACAAAGAACCUGCAUGCCCAGCUCUAGUAAGAGGGACCCUGUGCUGACCUCGGUUUCGGGGCCUUACUGCGGGGGAGUCUGGGGCCAGCUGACCUCUGCUUCUGCCUCCUCCUCCCUGGGGGACCACCUGACGGGUCUCCUCGAGGAGAUGCUGGGAAGAUACUGCAGAGCGAGAGCUGGCUGCCAGGGCUGGCGGGAACCACCGAGCUGAUUUCAGCUUUUCCCACUUUCACUGUGCUUUGCCAAAGGUCUUGAGCUCCUAAACAAAACCCCUGGCAUCCUUAUGCUGCAACGGCAGUCAGUGCCAUCAGAGGUUCAGGCUGGAAUGUGGCCUGAGGGAGGAAGAGAGGAAAAAAUAGGCCUUUGAUGUGGGUGCUUUCCUGGUGGCUCAGAUGGUAAAGAAUCCGCCUGCAAAUAGGAGACCCAGGUUCAACUCCUGAGUUGGGAAGAUGCCCUGGAGGAGAGCUCAGCAACCCACUCCAGGGUUCUUGCCUGGGGAUUUCCGUGGACAGAGGAGCCUGGCAGGCUUACAGUCCACAGGGUGGCAAAGAGUCAGACAUGACUGAGUGACUAACACCUUCACUUUCAUGUGGACACGUGGACGUUUGUGGCAUCUGUUCUGUGCCUGAAAUCAAUUCCUAUUCCCUUCAUCUGGCAGUUAAUCUUCCUCUACCAGUAAUGCAAGUUCUCUUCCAGGAACUGGAGAACGCUUUUCAGAAGCAGAUUUUGUGUGCUCCAGGAAAUCCUGGUGUGUAACAUGAAAUAAAUGUUUUGAACUCAAAUGGUGAGUGAGCCUUUCAGAAGACUCUUUUUAGCUGGGGAGGUCAGAGUCAGCCUUUUGGAGGAAAGUGAUGGAAACGCAGCUUGGACCCCACAGGACACUGGCAGCCCCUGGUCACGUCCCUGGGCUUCUGCGUCCACUCCGAGCUCUUUGGUGGCAAACCAGCUGCUUCUGGA